UACGGUCCAAUCCACUACGCAACUCCAGGUAGAUGCCGUUGCGCAGAUUUACCGGGCCCAUAUUCUUCAAGACCCAAGUAAGGUUUUGGAAUUUGCUAUUUGCCUGUUCCCACCGAUGCCUGCCGCCUUGACAGACUGGCAGUGGUGGCAAUUUACAGGGGAAAUCUUUCAGGCUUCACAUGAGCACAUCUAAGGGCCACAGAGACCGUAGCAGCUGCCUGGCUGUAUCGAAAUGCAGGGAACCCAUCCAACACCCGCAACGGACGGAGCACUUGUGUCGGGG
RNAcentral lists this long non-coding RNA (283 nucleotides) under Volvox carteri. RNAcentral describes it as "long non-coding RNA (VCAR_LNC000079)". Lineage: Eukaryota; Viridiplantae; Chlorophyta; Chlorophyceae; Chlamydomonadales; Volvocaceae. The record is from RNAcentral.